AGUCCUGUAGCUCAGUGGUUAGAGCGCUUACCUCGAAAGCAAGAGGACCUGGGUUCGAUUCUCUGGCAGGGCGA
Molecule: non-coding RNA, 74 nt
Organism: Callorhinchus milii (elephant shark)
Lineage: Eukaryota; Metazoa; Chordata; Chondrichthyes; Chimaeriformes; Callorhinchidae
Source: the annotation of a RefSeq genome assembly